AGGGAGGGGGGGGGGAGAGCCGGGGGGGUCGCCGCGCGGCCGGGCGGGGACGGAGGGGGAUAACGGGGGGCACAAGGGGGGUGCCCCCUCCCCGCGGGGCUCCGCGGGCGGCCGUUGGGGCGGCGGUUGGGACGGUUGGGACGGUUGGAGGGGGUGACGUCAUCCCUGUGCUGGGGGAGGGCGGGGCGGCAGCCCCCUCCCUCAGCGCCCCCCCCCUCACUCCUCCCCGCCUCCCUCCUCCUCCUCCUCCUCCUCCUCCUCCUGCAGCCCCGGGGCUCCCCCCAAAUCCCCGUGUCCCCCCCCCACAAAUCCCCGUGUCCUCCCCCCUGGACCCGGGGAGGGGGUCUCCUGUCACGGGGAGGGGGUGUCCCGCCGCCAUGUCGCGCCUGAGGGGCUGUGAGGGGCAUCCCGCAGCCCGUCCCAAUGCAGCCACGUUAAAAAGAAUCCACGAUAAAAAAAGAAAUCGGUGAAAUGCUCGCCCCGCUGCCCUGUGGCAGCCGCCCGCGAGUCCUGGCCUCCCCUCCCAGCGAAGGAGAGGGACGAGCGGCACAUCAAGGAGGUCGGAGCGCAGGAGAACCUGCCCUUACACGCCGAUUCCAGCUCAGGAGAUCACGCACCUCGCUGCUCAGUAGGGAUCCGGUUAAGAGGCAGUUUCACCACAAUAAACCGUGAUCUUUCAUUCUCCAGAACAUGACCUACAAGGCUAAGUGGCUGAAGGACUGCCCGCUCUACGGGUAGCAGACCCGGCUGUGACAGCUUUGCACAGAAAGCUUUCAUAAGGGGAUUGCGACUAGCGACAGCAGCAACAGUUCAACAGACUGUCAUCAAGUAGCGGGCAGGAUUCCCCUAGAAAAGUGCUUUGGUUCCUGGCAGAGCACCGUAGGAACCGUACUUCAGGGCUUGCAUGCUGCUCUCGGUCCUGUUAGGAGUCACGGGAUGGACAAGCCUGCCCACCUGGCUGAGUGGCUGCUUUUUUGGGGCACACUGAACAUCAGCGUGUUCCAAGGGGAGUUUUCCUCAAGCGUCCUGCGUUGCAGGGAUACACUGUGUCUGUUGGCUUUGCUUGAAUUGGAUGAAAAUUAAAUGAUACCCAAAUCAAAAGUCAUUUUCACUUCUGCUAAGUGAAAACCCUGCCUUUCGGUCUGUCUUCCUGAGAUGCCGAUUGUACAAAUUAAAAUGCAGAGUUACGGGGAAAUUUGUGACUAUAAGGAAAAUAUCUUGACCAUAGGAAAUAUCUGUGACUGUAAGAUCCAGGCACCUGUUCCUUGCAGGAGGGAUGUUGGCUUGUGUCUGUCAGAGCCAGCAUCUUUCUGCAAUCAAGCACGUGAAAACUCUUGUCCUCUUGUUAAUUCUCAUACCUACAAAGGAACACAUUGCACACUCUGUUUGCUGAUCCUUUACACAUGUCUUGGGGGGCAGUUCCUCAAGAAGCUGCUUCUUUACUUGGAUGUGUUUGGAGCUUCUCACAAGAUAGACAGUACUCUGAAGUUUGUUAGCUUCACCUCGGCUUGUCAUCAGCGCUAGUCAAGUGCAAGCAUUAAUCAAAUUAAAGGUUUACUACAGCCGGGCAUAAGGGCAAGCUCCUAAUUACAAGGCUGGAAAACAAGAAUGACCGGGAGUCGUUUAAACUUGAAAUGUAAUUCUAGGGCAAACUUAACAGGUUUUUCCUUAGCUAUUACCUCUCACCUUGAGUUUUUAGGAUACGUCUCAUCCAUAAAAAAAACAGCAGUGUAAUUUGUAUGGGCACUGUGUGGCUUGGCUCCUUCCCUUCCAGCACGAAGGAAGUGCCUCAGGUGUGGCAGGCUGGGGUUUUGCUGGAAGCACUGAGUGCUCCCUCCUGACCCUGCUUUCUGUUGUGCCUUCUGAGCAAGCUGCCCUAGUACACGUUGACCAGCUCCUCUUCCCCGGCAGCAAUUCACGAAGCAGUUUACAAAGCAUUUACUGGCUUUCCUACAUUUACUGUUUAACAGCAUUACAAACUGCUGAGCUCUCUAGCCGAUCCCUCAGAUUGUCCUACGUACGUAGCU
Molecule: long non-coding RNA, 2027 nt
Organism: Anas platyrhynchos (mallard)
Lineage: Eukaryota; Metazoa; Chordata; Aves; Anseriformes; Anatidae
Source: RefSeq, a predicted model, not a curated record